GCGUGCUUACACAUGCAAGUCGAACGAUGAAGCCCUUCGGGGUGGAUUAGUGGCGAACGGGUGAGUAACACGUGGGCAAUCUGCCCUGCACUCUGGGACAAGCCCUGGAAACGGGGUCUAAUACCGGAUAUGACACGGGAUCGCAUGAUCUUCGUGUGGAAAGCUCCGGCGGUGCAGGAUGAGCCCGCGGCCUAUCAGCUAGUUGGUGAGGUAACGGCUCACCAAGGCGACGACGGGUAGCCGGCCUGAGAGGGCGACCGGCCACACUGGGACUGAGACACGGCCCAGACUCCUACGGGAGGCAGCAGUGGGGAAUAUUGCACAAUGGGCGAAAGCCUGAUGCAGCGACGCCGCGUGAGGGAUGACGGCCUUCGGGUUGUAAACCUCUUUCAGCAGGGAAGAAGCGAAAGUGACGGUACCUGCAGAAGAAGCGCCGGCUAACUACGUGCCAGCAGCCGCGGUAAUACGUAGGGCGCGAGCGUUGUCCGGAAUUAUUGGGCGUAAAGAGCUCGUAGGCGGCUUGUCACGUCGGUUGUGAAAGCCCGGGGGCUUAACCCCGGGUCUGCAGUCCAUACGGGCAGGCUAGAGUUCGGUAGGGGA
This 600-nucleotide ribosomal RNA is filed under the name uncultured Streptomyces sp. Its description in RNAcentral is "bacterial SSU rRNA". It matches the Rfam family "Bacterial small subunit ribosomal RNA", at positions 42 to 658 of the family's 1533-position model. The record is from RNAcentral. Lineage: Bacteria; Bacillati; Actinomycetota; Actinomycetes; Kitasatosporales; Streptomycetaceae.